AGCUGGUUGCUGCUACGAGGAAGAAAAACACAUGCAAGACAGAAAAGCAGAUCUAAGCUGGAACUCGCAGCUAGAGAAGUCAUUUUUUUGGAGCCGUGACUGAAGACUGAAACAUUAGAGAGUCAUAAGAACUUUUGACAGCAGUACGUGUUUCAUAGUAACCUGCAGAAGAUAACUGGAUAACAGUUCGGACUGGAUAACAACAAUUUCUAGCCUGAGUAACUUGCCAAUGCUAACGAAGAUGGAAAUGGGCUUUCACAUCUAACUCUUACAGGGUUUUCCUGUAUGUUGUCUAAAAUGGAUUUUCAUUUUCUCACCAAUGGCAGGAACUUACCCAGCUCGUAGCUAGGAUGGAAUAAACCACCUAAUCCAGGCUGUGAAGGGAGAUCACUUUGGGUAUGAAUGUUGGAUCUCAACAAAGCACUGCUUCUUCUGAAGUGAGAGCUGUAGUGUGCAUGAAGAUGAAUCCACACCAUGCUGGCCACUGGAUUUUUGGGGUGUGCCCUGUGCUGAUGGCUGUUGUCUAUUCCCUUCCUGUUAGAUGUGACUACGUUUCAUGGGUGAUCCAGAGGAUUCCAGCUGAAAAGAUGGAUAGAUUUUGGCAAAUUUGUUGUCCUUUUAAAGCCACGACCCUACAAGGCACACAUGGUAUGAGUUGGCCAACAGUAUUCCGGCAGACUCUGUAGACAGCUAUUGAAGUCAAUUUUUGGCAAGGAUUUAGCUAGCUGGGUUGCUACCACACGUUUUUUAUAGCUACUGUGGUUUACUUUGACAUGGAAGGAAUGACGUAGCACACGCAAAAAAGCUUAGAAUGUUACCACUUUAAUACUAAGAGUGUAGACAUCAAAGGGUGGCAAAUGUAUUACUGCAGCUUAAUGAGUUACUGUUUAUCAUUGCAAAUCAGCUGAGGAGUGUUAGCUAGUUAAACUCUGAUAACCUGAUUGCUUGUAGUCUUCUUAGAAGAUUACAAAAUUAGCUUGUCAUUGAUCAGCUUUGAGCAUAUCUGGAUGUGGAUCAGCCAUGCUGAAGUAUGAAGUGGAAGCUGCAUACCUCUAAAAUACCUGUCUUCCCUAGCCCAAUUGUACUUUCUUUUUCAAAUGUGUGCAAUGAUGACUGCACUUACGUGUUUGCUGCCCUAUUCGUUAACUAUGUCUCAGCCAGGAAAUGCAUUAGAGGAUUCCUUGUUCUGCACAUGCUCCAUAUAUGCUUAUAUGAGGACUCCAAGAAAUAAUGUUUAGUCAGAAGGUAAGGCUGCAUUUGUGUUUUACUGAAUUAAAAUGCUAGAUUGGGUCAUAACUGUGAAAAUAAAUUUGCUGUUGUCAGA
Molecule: long non-coding RNA, 1324 nt
Organism: Harpia harpyja (harpy eagle)
Lineage: Eukaryota; Metazoa; Chordata; Aves; Accipitriformes; Accipitridae
Exons: 3
Source: RefSeq, a predicted model, not a curated record